GGAAUAUUGGACAAUGGGCGAAAGCCUGAUCCAGCCAUGCCGCGUGUGUGAAGAAGGUCUUCGGAUUGUAAAGCACUUUAAGUUGGGAGGAAGGGCAGGAAGCGAAUACCUUGCUGUUUUGACGUUACCGACCGAAUAAGCACCGGCUACCUCUGUUCCAGCAGCCGCGGUAAUACAGAGGGUGCAAGCGUUAAGCGGAAUUACUGGGCGUAAAGCGCGCGUAGGUGGUUGGUUAAGUUGGAUGUGAAAGCCCCGGGCUCAACCUGGGAACUGCAUCCAAAACUGGCCGACUAGAGUACAGUAGAGAGUGGUGGAAUUUCCUGUGUAGCGGUGAAAUGCGUAGAGAUCGGGAGGAACAUCUGUGGCGAAGGCGGCCACCUGGACCAGCACUGACACUGAGGCACGAAAGCGUGGGGAGCAAAC
This 423-nucleotide ribosomal RNA is filed under the name uncultured bacterium. RNAcentral describes it as "bacterial SSU rRNA". It matches the Rfam family "Bacterial small subunit ribosomal RNA", at positions 358 to 773 of the family's 1533-position model. The record is from RNAcentral.